GUUUGAAGGAGAAUGUUGGUGUUUGAAGGAGAAUGUUGGUGUUUGGUAGGGUAUGUUGAUGUUUGAAGGAGAAUGUUGGUGUUUGGUAGGGAAUGUUGAUGUCUGAAGGAGAAUGCUGGUGUUUGAAGGAGAAUGCUGGUGUUUGAUGGAGAAUGCUGGUGUUUGUUAGGGUAUGUUGAUGUUUGAAGGAGAGUGAUGGUGUUUGGUAGGGAAUGUUGAUGUCUGAAGGAGAAUGUUGGUGUUUGGUAGGGUAUGUUGAAGUCUGAAGGAGAAUGCUGGUGUUUGAAGGAGAAUGCUGGUGUUUGAUGGAGAGUGAUGGUGUUUGUUAGGGUAUGUUGAAGUCUGAAGUAGAAUGCUGGUGUUUGAAGGAGAAUGUCGGCAUUUGAAGACGAAUGCUGGUGUUUGGCAGGUGCUUGAUGGACACACUGGUGUUUGAUGGAGAGUGAUGGUGUUCGUUAGGGUAUGCUGGUGUUUGA
Long non-coding RNA from Ictalurus punctatus (channel catfish), 476 nucleotides. Lineage: Eukaryota; Metazoa; Chordata; Actinopteri; Siluriformes; Ictaluridae. The record is from Ensembl.